CAGAUUUACAACAUUUCUACGGUUUUUGUGUCCCAAAAUACAAUCAGAGUGGACCGACGAAAUUCCUUUGUGGUGCUCAGUAAUCACCACCAGGGGGUGAUCAACAUAAAUCAGAUACAUUCAAGCAACCACCUGACUUUUAUUGUGAAAUCCGGAAGCCAUCCUUAACCUGGAAGUAUUUCAAUUAUUGUAGGAAGUUUUCCGCCAUAAAACCGACACUGAUUUGACGGACAUAAAGGCUGAAAAUAGAACGGUAUGGACUCUCCAGGCAGAAGUAAAAGUCCCAGUCCUGUUGAAAAAGAACAAGGUGGACCUUCAGAAGACGAGUCCAGCAAUGCAGCGGAGAAGCCUCAGCAGGCCGGCUCGGUUGAAGGAAGCCCCAAAGAGAAGUUGUCCCCUCCAGCCAGUCCUGCAGGCCGUUCCCCCUCUGGCAGUCCCCCCUCGGGGAGCGGUGACUGCAGCAGCUCAGACGACAGCACCAGCAGUGAUGAUGAUGAUGAACAUCAUGGUGCACUGAAGAAGUUGAGGAGCAGUGUGGCUCAGAUCAAAGUAAGCAAGGAUUACUACUGUUACUGGCUGUUUCUUUUAGGUUUACAACUUUAGGGAUGGCGGACCAGCGGGGUUGGUCCGCAGAACGGACGUGUUUGGGGGACUGAGAUGCUACGGAUAAAGUUAGCAAGUCUGCUUUAUGAUACUGAGCAGUGAAGAAACCCCUCCAAACCUCUGUACCGACACGCACUGUCUGCUCUUUUGAACUUGGG
This is a long non-coding RNA of Gasterosteus aculeatus aculeatus (three-spined stickleback), 761 nucleotides long. The record is from Ensembl. Lineage: Eukaryota; Metazoa; Chordata; Actinopteri; Perciformes; Gasterosteidae.